This is a long non-coding RNA of Equus asinus (donkey), 2025 nucleotides long. NCBI's taxonomy places the organism in Eukaryota, Metazoa, Chordata, Mammalia, Perissodactyla, Equidae. The record is from Ensembl.
CGGCGUCUCUGCGCCAUCUUGCGUCAGAGCGAUUGUCGCGUGUGAGGGCGAGCGGGAGGCCCUUCCGGUCCGCAGCGCGGGAGCUCCUUGGCCAACACGGUACCGAGGGCAGUACGUGUAUGCAGGUUUUUCUAUUUCUAAGCUGAAUGUGAUCUCCUUCAAGGAGCAAGGAAAGGAAGCCUGGGUAGUAGAGAGUGAUGUCACACAAAGCCUGCACCCAGAUUGGGUAUCCCAAUGGGAGAAAAUGGAAAAAUUUAUAAACAAAGAUCCUGAGGACCCCAGCUUCCAAGAUGACUGGAAAUGUAAAGGCACAUUCAAGAGACAACAAAGAAAUAGGAAGGAAAUUCCAGUCAAGUCAUACUCACCCGUGAAGAAAUACCCACUUGGAGACAGCAAACAUCCCAUAACGUGCUUCAGAAAGUUCUAUCUGGAAGUAGGCCCUAUGUGUGUAUUGAAUUUACAAAAGGUUUUUGGCAGAAGAAAUCUCUUAAUCAUCAGAAAACUCAUACUAGUGAGGAAUAUUACAAAUGCAAGCAAUGUGGGAAGGACAUUCUGAUCUUCCUCAACAUCAAGGGAUUCAUACUGGGGAAAGACCCUGUGAAUGUAAAGAAUGUGGAAAGGGCUUUAGUUCUGUAUCACUCUUUACCCAACAACAGAGAAGUCAUGCUGGUGAGAAACUCUGUAAAUGUAGGGUUGUGGAAAAACCUUUAUUUGGCUCUCACAACUUAAUAUACAUCAUAGAACUCACAUUGGUGAAAAGACUUAUCAAUGUAUUGAAUGUAGAAAAGCUUUUAAAGGUCACUUAUCACUAAUUACUCAACAUCAAAGAAUUCAUGCUGGAGAAAAACCCUAUGAUGUAAGGAAUAUGGAAGGGCCUUUAGAGGUAUCACACGACUUAAGGAACAUUGAAGAAUCCAUACCAGUGAGAAGCCAUAUAAACGCAAUGAACAUGGAAAGGCCUUCAGUUGUCAUUCACAUCUUCCUCAACAUCAAAGAAAUCUUAUAAAUCUAAGGUUUGUGGGAAGGCCUUUAGACAGGGCUCACAGCUUAACCAUCAGCAGAGAAUUCAUACUGGUGAGAAACCACAUAAAUGUGAUGAACGUGGAAAAGACUUUGGUUGGAUUUCGCAAUUUAAUGUACAUAUUAGCAACCACAUUAGUGAGAACCUGUGUCAGUGUACUGAAUGUGGAAAAGCCUUUAGUCACUUAACAUUAGCUAUGCAACAUCAGAGAAUUCAUACUGGUGAGAAAUCCAAUGAAUGUAAGGCAUGUGGGAAAGCCUUUAUGAUUAUCUCAUACCUUAUCCAGCAUCAAAGAAUUCACACUGUUGAGAAAUCCUAUAAAUGCAGUGAAUGUGGAAAGGCCUUCAAUCAUCGUUCAUAUCUUCCUAAAUGUCAGAGAAUCCAUACUGGGAACUUGGACCACACCAGGUAAUCAAAGGAUGUGACUUAGGCUGGGCUCUGUAUCACAGUAUCAGCGUGACCUCCAGAGGGGCUGGAGACUGAGGAGAGCCACAUGAGGAACCCAUCAUGUCGACGUGACGGAGCCCAAUAAAGAAUGACACCAGGGGUCGGGGGCUUCCCUGGCAGGCGAUACUCUGUGCAUACUGUCACACAUGGCUGGGGAGGUGUUUAUGCUGUCCAUGACUCCAACACGGGAAUGGAAGCUCUGCAUCUAGAACCCUCCUGGACUCUGCCCCAUGCUGGCUGAUUGUAAUGUACAUCUUUUCACUGUAAUAAACCAUAACCACAAAUAUAAAAGUUUUUUGUGUGUGUGUACGAGGAAGAUUGGCCCUGAGCUAACAUCUGUGCUAAUCUUCCUCUAUUUUGUAUGUGGGAUGCCGCCAUAGCGUGGCUUGAUGAGCAGUGCUAGGUCCGUGCCCAGAAUCCAAACCUGCAAACCCCAGGCCACCAAAGCAGAGAGCAUGAACUUAACUACUAUGCUACCCAGCUGGCCCCAGUAUAAAAGUUUUUAGUAAGUUCUGUGAGUCCUUCUAGUGAGUUAUUGAACCUGAGGGUGAUCUUUG